This 483-nucleotide ribosomal RNA is filed under the name uncultured bacterium. RNAcentral's name for it is "partial 16S ribosomal RNA". It matches the Rfam family "Bacterial small subunit ribosomal RNA", at positions 30 to 507 of the family's 1533-position model. The record is from RNAcentral.
AUUGAACGCUGGCGGCAGGCCUAACACAUGCCAGUCGAGCGGAUGAAGGGAGCUUGCUCCUGGAUUCAGCGGCGGACGGGUGAGUAAUGCCUAGGAAUCUGCCUGGUAGUGGGGGAUAACGUCCGGAAACGGGCGCUAAUACCGCAUACGUCCUGAGGGAGAAAGUGGGGAUCUUCGGACCUCACGCUAUCAGAUGAGCCUAGGCCGGAUUAGCUAGUUGGUGGGGUAAAGGCCUACCAAGGCGACGAUCCGUAACUGGUCUGAGAGGAUGAUCAGUCACACUGGAACUGAGACACGGUCCAGACUCCUACGGGAGGCAGCAGUGGGGAAUAUUGGACAAUGGGCGAAAGCCUGAUCCAGCCAUGCCGCGUGUGUGAAGAAGGUCUUCGGAUUGUAAAGCACUUUAAGUUGGGAGGAAGGGCAGUAAGUUAAUACCUUGCUGUUUUGACGUUACCAACAGAAUAAGCACCGGCUAACUUCGUG